This 508-nucleotide ribosomal RNA is filed under the name uncultured bacterium. Its description in RNAcentral is "partial 16S ribosomal RNA". It matches the Rfam family "Bacterial small subunit ribosomal RNA", at positions 28 to 507 of the family's 1533-position model. The record is from RNAcentral.
GACGAACGCUGGCGGCGUGCCUAAUACAUGCCAGUCGAACGCUUCUUUCCUCCCGAGUGCUUGCACUCAAUUGGAAAGAGGAGUGGCGGACGGGUGAGUAACACGUGGGUAACCUACCCAUCAGAGGGGGAUAACACUUGGAAACAGGUGCUAAUACCGCAUAACAGUUUAUGCCGCAUGGCAUAAGAGUGAAGGGCGCUUUCGGGUGUCGCUGAUGGAUGGACCCGCGGUGCAUUAGCUAGUUGGUGAGGUAACGGCUCACCAAGGCCACGAUGCAUAGCCGACCUGAGAGGGUGAUCGGCCACACUGGGACUGAGACACGGCCCAGACUCCUACGGGAGGCAGCAGUAGGGAAUCUUCGGCAAUGGACGAAAGUCUGACCGAGCAACGCCGCGUGAGUGAAGAAGGUUUUCGGAUCGUAAAACUCUGUUGUUAGAGAAGAACAAGGACGUUAGUAACUGAACGUCCCCUGACGGUAUCUAACCAGAAAGCCACGGCUAACUACGUG